GACAAACCUAAACUCCAAACUCUGUACCCCAAACUUGGCAGAUCUUUUUUCCCCUCCCCCAGUUCUGGGAUUGGACCCAGGCACAUGCUACCACCAAGCUUCACCCCCAGCCCUUUCAUUAAACCUUUUUGAGACAGAGCCUUGCUAAGUUACCGAAGCUGGCCUUGAACUUGUGAUCCUCCAGCCUCAGCGACCUGAGUAGCUGGGAUUUCAGGUGUGUGCCUUUUAAGCACCUGGCUUAAAAGAGAAGCAUAUGUUCGACCUUCCCUGAUGCCCUACUAUGGUACCUUGUACCAACUUCCAUUCCACCAGCCGUGCAGGAGAUUUUUCAAACCCCCACAGCCACACCAAGACUUGGAGUUACGAGAUUUACCUUUUUUCCUCAGCCAAAGCGUCUCUCACUCAGGUUUUUAAUUGCUUUUCU
This 424-nucleotide long non-coding RNA is filed under the name Marmota monax (woodchuck). The record is from RNAcentral. Lineage: Eukaryota; Metazoa; Chordata; Mammalia; Rodentia; Sciuridae.